Molecule: ribosomal RNA, 493 nt
Filed under: uncultured bacterium
Lineage: Bacteria
Description: partial 16S ribosomal RNA
Rfam family: Bacterial small subunit ribosomal RNA
Source: RNAcentral
GACGAACGCUGGCGGCGUGCUUAACACAUGCAAGUCGAACGGAAAGGCCUGCUUUCCCUUGUGGAUUGCGGGUACUCGAGUGGCGAACGGGUGAGUAACACGUGAGUGAUCUGCCCCCAACUUGGGUAUAGGCCUGGGAAACUGGGUCUAAUUCCCGAUAGGACUGCAGGGUGGUGCCUGUGGUGGAAAACGAUUUUCUAGUGGUUGGGGAUGAGCUCGCGGCCUAUCAGCUUGUUGGUGGGGUAAUGGCCUACCAAGGCGGCGACGGGUAGCCGGCCUGAGAGGGUGGACGGCCACAUUGGGACUGAGAUACGGCCCAGACUCCUACGGGAGGCAGCAGUGGGGAAUAUUGCACAAUGGGCGGAAGCCUGAUGCAGCGACGCCGCGUGGGGGAUGACGGCCUUCGGGUUGUAAACUCCUUUCGACCGCGAGGAAGCCACCUGGUUGGAAGGGUGGUGACGGUAGUGGUAGAAGAAGCACCGGCUAACUACGU